AUCGUAUUUGAUAAUUAUGUUUUAUUUUACUUACAAUGUAUGUCUUAAGCUUGUGUUUAUUGGUAACUGUAUCUAUUAUCGACCCUUCAUCGAAAUUACAUACUCACUUACGUAAUCAUUUAACUAUCUCUGAGCAAAUUAAUAGGUCUUCAAAAACACUUAACAGUCAUUUAAGUUAUUAAUUUGAGCUAUGUCGGUGUUUGGAUGGACAUUUCGGGCAAAAGAACAAACAAUUUC
RNAcentral lists this long non-coding RNA (237 nucleotides) under Mytilus galloprovincialis (Mediterranean mussel). Lineage: Eukaryota; Metazoa; Mollusca; Bivalvia; Mytilida; Mytilidae. The record is from RNAcentral.